CACUACUGCCAGAAUGUACAAGUCCGUCUCGGCGGACUUAGGUGAUCCACACCAGUGUCUCGGACAGCGGUUCGAUUCCGCUCAGCUCCAUUCCAUUUCUUAUUCCUGAUGGGGCUGCAAUGGUUUCGACGGGGCAUAAGGAGGGUGACUGAAGCCCGCUCUGUUCAGUCAGAGCAAACUCGUAAACGCGAACAACAUCGUUCGUUUCUCCCGUCAGACCGCCCCUGUGGCUGCCUGACCUUAUCUAAGGGAGAUGGGGUAAGAUCAGCCUUAUCACCCAAAUGAUCCACGGGGGUUGGAAGGCCCCCUCACAACGAUACUGCAGACGA
RNAcentral lists this transfer-messenger RNA (329 nucleotides) under cyanobiont of Ornithocercus magnificus. It matches the Rfam family "Cyanobacteria transfer-messenger RNA". From Rfam's summary of the family: Bacterial tmRNA, also known as 10Sa RNA or SsrA, is named for its dual tRNA and mRNA-like properties. The record is from RNAcentral. Lineage: Bacteria; Bacillati; Cyanobacteriota; Cyanophyceae; Synechococcales.